AGAGCGAACGUUAGCGGCGGGCCUAACACAUGCAAGUCGAACGAGAAUGAGGGGCAACUCCUCUAGUAAAGUGGCGGACGGGUGCGUAACACGUGGGUAAUCUACCUUCCAGUGGGGGACAACCUUCCGAAAGGAGGGCUAAUACCGCAUACGUCGGCGAGGACUCAGGUUCUUGCCGGGAACGAUGGCCUCUGCAUGCAAGCUGUCGCUGGAAGAUGAGCCCGCGGCCCAUCAGCUAGUU
RNAcentral lists this ribosomal RNA (241 nucleotides) under uncultured soil bacterium. RNAcentral describes it as "partial 16S ribosomal RNA". It matches the Rfam family "Bacterial small subunit ribosomal RNA", at positions 26 to 250 of the family's 1533-position model. The record is from RNAcentral.